AAAACAAAUACGUAGGUGGCAAGCGUUGUCCGGAAUUACUGGGCGUAAAGGGCGUGUAGGUGGUCUAACAAGUCAGGUGUGAAACUCUGGGGCUCAACUCCAGGCAUGCAUUUGAAACUGUUGGACUUGAGGGCAAGAGAGGAAAGUGGAAUUCCUAGUGUAGCGGUGAAAUGCGUAGAUAUUAGGAGGAACACCAGUGGCGAAGGCGACUCUCUGGUCUAUAACUGACGCUGAGGCGCGAAAGCGUGGGGAGCAAACAGG
This 261-nucleotide ribosomal RNA is filed under the name uncultured Peptococcaceae bacterium. RNAcentral describes it as "partial 16S ribosomal RNA". It matches the Rfam family "Bacterial small subunit ribosomal RNA", at positions 516 to 776 of the family's 1533-position model. The record is from RNAcentral. Lineage: Bacteria; Bacillati; Bacillota; Clostridia; Eubacteriales; Peptococcaceae.